RNAcentral lists this ribosomal RNA (247 nucleotides) under uncultured Lachnospiraceae bacterium. RNAcentral's name for it is "partial 16S ribosomal RNA". It matches the Rfam family "Bacterial small subunit ribosomal RNA", at positions 524 to 776 of the family's 1533-position model. Lineage: Bacteria; Bacillati; Bacillota; Clostridia; Lachnospirales; Lachnospiraceae. The record is from RNAcentral.
UACGUAGGGGGCAAGCGUUAUCCGGAUUUACUGGGUGUAAAGGGAGCGGCAUGAUAAGUCUGAUGUGAAAACCCAAGGCUCAACCAUGGGACUGCAUUGGAAACUGUCGUGCUGGAGUGUCGGAGAGGUAAGCGGAAUUCCUAGUGUAGCGGUGAAAUGCGUAGAUAUUAGGAGGAACACCAGUGGCGAAGGCGGCUUACUGGACGAUGACUGACGCUGAGGCUCGAAAGCGUGGGGAGCAAACAGG